CGAAGGUAGCAUAAUCAGUAGUCUUUUAAUUGAAGGCUGGAAUGAAUGGUUGGAUGAAAUAUUAACUGUUUCAUUUAAAUUUAUUAUAGAAUUUUAUUUUUUAGUUAAAAAGCUAAAAUUUUUUUAAAAGACGAGAAGACCCUAUAAAUCUUUAUAUUUUUUUUUAUAAUUGUUAUUUAGAUAUAUUAAAUUAUUAUUAUAUAUAAAUAUUUUAUUGGGGUGAUAUUAAAAUUUAAUAAACUUUUAAUUUUUAAUAAACAUAAAUUUAUGAAUAUAUGAUCCAUUAUUAGUGAUUAAAAAUUUAAGUUACUUUAGGGAUAACAGCGUAAUUUUUUUGGAGAGUUCAUAUCGAUAAAAAAGAUUGCGACCUCGAUGUUGGAUUAA
This 384-nucleotide ribosomal RNA is filed under the name Ischnomyia spinosa. Its description in RNAcentral is "partial 16S ribosomal RNA". Lineage: Eukaryota; Metazoa; Arthropoda; Insecta; Diptera; Anthomyzidae. The record is from RNAcentral.